This 854-nucleotide long non-coding RNA is filed under the name Gouania willdenowi (blunt-snouted clingfish). RNAcentral's name for it is "lncRNA (ENSGWIG00000017904.1)". Lineage: Eukaryota; Metazoa; Chordata; Actinopteri; Blenniiformes; Gobiesocidae. The record is from RNAcentral.
AGGGUGUGGAGGAGUCCUCACCUCACACACACACACACAUACACACACACACACACACACACACACACACACACACACACACACACACACACACACACACACACACACACACACACACACACACACACACACACACACACACAGUCACAGAGCAGACACACACACACUGAUGAAGAACUGACCAACAUGCGAACCAGGAAGGACAGCAGACCUCCAGGAACAAACUCUGCAGAGAAAAGCUCAUCAUCUCAUGACGUGGAGAUGGAUCAGGACACGGUGAAGGAACAACAUGAGAUCCAGACUGAAGAUCAGAGGACCAGGAAGCAGCUCACAUCUGGACCUGGACCCAGCUGUCUGUCCUUUAGAAGUGACCAGUCCAUGGGCAGACCCAUUUACUUCAAAGGAGGUCCAUCUACUGACCCACAGUGAGUCCACAUAAAGAAGGUUGCUGGUUGUCUUCCUGAUGGUCCAGGGGCCUCAUUUAUUGAUCCGUUCAUAGAACUGGUUCUAAAUACGUUCAGACCAAUGAAAUGUAGAAUGUGCACCAGUACAAAAAGAAUCAGUAUUUAUGAAGCGUGUGGACAGAGGUCGUACACACAGCAGUGUUGAUUAAUCCCACCUGUUCUAAAGCUAGCACAUGUUCAGGAUCAUUUACAUUAAGACACGCCUCUAAUUGACCAUAUAUGGUAGCAGCAAUCCUAUUAUUCAUGGGGUCAAUUUGACUUCAUUCAAUGUUUAUCACUGAAAAAAUAAUAGACUUUAUUUGAAGAUGAUAGGAGGUUCAGAAUGUGUGAACAGACUUUUUCCAGUGGAUUCUGACCAAAGCUAUAAAUAAAAUCAAGGAUCAACUAACA